CCUACGGGGGGCUGCAGUAGGGAAUAUUGCGCAAUGGGGGAAACCCUGACGCAGCGACGCCGCGUGAGUGAUGAAGGACUUCGGUUCGUAAAGCUCUGUCGCAAGGGAAUAAUUUUGAAUGUACCUUGUAAGAAAGGAUCGGCUAACUUCGUGCCAGCAGCCGCGGUAAGACGAGGGAUCCUAGCGUUGUUCGGAAUCAUUGGGCGUAAAGCGGGUGUAGGCGGCUUUGUAAGUCAGGUGUGAAAGCCCUGGGCUCAACCCAGGAAGUGCAUUUGAUACUGCGAAGCUUGAGUGUGGGAGAGGCUAGUGGAAUUCCUGGUGUAGUGGUGAAAUACGUAGAUAUCAGGAGGAACAUCGGUGGCGAAGGCGGCUAGCUGGCCCAACACUGACGCUGAGAUCCGAAAGUGUGGGGAUCAAACAGGAUUAGAUACCCUAGUAGUC
RNAcentral lists this ribosomal RNA (441 nucleotides) under uncultured bacterium. RNAcentral's name for it is "partial 16S ribosomal RNA". It matches the Rfam family "Bacterial small subunit ribosomal RNA", at positions 338 to 795 of the family's 1533-position model. The record is from RNAcentral.